Molecule: ribosomal RNA, 769 nt
Filed under: Vreelandella aquamarina
Lineage: Bacteria; Pseudomonadati; Pseudomonadota; Gammaproteobacteria; Oceanospirillales; Halomonadaceae
Description: bacterial SSU rRNA
Rfam family: Bacterial small subunit ribosomal RNA
Source: RNAcentral
CCAGCUUGCUGGAUGCUGACGAGCGGCGGACGGGUGAGUAAUGCAUAGGAAUCUGCCCGAUAGUGGGGGAUAACCUGGGGAAACCCAGGCUAAUACCGCAUACGUCCUACGGGAGAAAGGGGGCUCCGGCUCCCGCUAUGGGAUGAGCCUAUGUCGGAUUAGCUAGUUGGUGAGGUAACGGCUCACCAAGGCCACGAUCCGUAGCUGGUCUGAGAGGAUGAUCAUCCACAUCGGGACUGAGACACGGCCCGAACUCCUACGGGAGGCAGCGGUGGGGAAUAUUGGACAAUGGGGGAAAGCCUGAUCCAGCCCUGCCGCGUGUGUGAAGAAGGCCCUCGGGUUGUAAAGCACUUUCAGCGAGGAAGAACGCCUAGCGGUUAAUACCCGCUAGGAAAGACAUCACUCGCAGAAGAAGCACCGGCUAACUCCGUGCCAGCAGCCGCGGUAAUACGGAGGGUGCAAGCGUUAAUCGGAAUUACUGGGCGUAAAGCGCGCGUAGGUGGCUUGAUAAGCCGGUUGUGAAAGCCCCGGGCUCAACCUGGGAACGGCAUCCGGAACUGUCAAGCUAGAGUGCAGGAGAGGAAGGUAGAAUUCCCGGUGUAGCGGUGACAUGCGUAGAGAUCGGGAGGAAUACCAGUGGCGAAGGCGGCCUUCUGGACUGAGACUGACACUGAGGUGCGAAAGCGUGGGUAGCAAACAGGAUUAGAUACCCUGGUAGUCCACGCCGUAAACGAUGUCGACCAUCCGCUUGGGUGCCUAGCGCACUUUG